GGAAGAGUUCAUCAUUAGAAAGCCCUCUGACUGGCUAAUUAAUUCCUGGCUGUUCCCAGGCUUUCCCCCAAUAAAAGUAGAGCUAAGAUGCUGGGUCUUUGUUCCCCAGUGUUCCUGGUGUUACCAGAUGCUGGGGUUCUAGUUUCCUGUUGCUAUACAUCUCUUGGGAGAUGAUGAACCAUGAAGUCAUUCUGCCGGUUUUCUUAUCAUGCAUAACAGAAGAUGUCUCAGUAAAUGCUACAGAACGCCAUCAACCGCUUAAAUACAUAUAAAAAAGAAUCACAGACACCAGGAAGAAGUAACUAAUUAUACUAUAGCAUCAUGCACUGAACUGAAGGAUGGUCUGCCCUCUUGUGUCUUAGUAUUUUAUCUUGUGGUUGUACAACAAGUUCUGUCUUUCUGUGUUUUCUGACAAGUCCAUUGUGUAGAAAUGAACAUCUUUCAUGUUGUAAGAUAAAACCAAAUGCAAUAUUAAAAAGAAAGAUCAAAGCUGGGGGAAAGGGGCAAAAUUACUUGGAUGUUAUUUCUGCCAUUAUAAAAUCUCUCAUGCAAACUUCAGCAACUAGGAACAAAACAUAAAUUGAGCUGCUAAUAAACGUUCCAAAUGUGUUGAUUGUAAAAUAUUCAUCUGUUUUGUACAACUUUAUUUUGGACUGUAUGGCGAAAUGAAUCAUUCUCUGUGUGUUUUUUAAUGAGUUUUUCUGUUAAGUGUUAUUUAUAAAGUGUUACCUUUGUUACAAAAA
Molecule: long non-coding RNA, 743 nt
Organism: Rhineura floridana
Lineage: Eukaryota; Metazoa; Chordata; Lepidosauria; Squamata; Rhineuridae
Exons: 2
Source: RefSeq, a predicted model, not a curated record